This 497-nucleotide ribosomal RNA is filed under the name uncultured bacterium. RNAcentral's name for it is "partial 16S ribosomal RNA". It matches the Rfam family "Bacterial small subunit ribosomal RNA", at positions 28 to 507 of the family's 1533-position model. The record is from RNAcentral.
GAUGAACGCUGGCGGCGUGCCUAAUACAUGCAAGUCGAGCGAACAGACGAGGAGCUUGCUCCUUCGACGUUAGCGGCGGACGGGUGAGUAACACGUAGGGAACCUACCUAUAAGACUGGGAUAACCUCGGGAAACCGGAGCUAAUACCGGAUAAUAUUUCGAACCGCAUUGUUCGAUAGUGAAAGAUGGCUUUGCUAUCACUUAUAGAUGGACCUGCGCCGUAUUAGCUAGUUGGUAAGGUAACGGCUUACCAAGGCAACGAUACGUAGCCGACCUGAGAGGGUGAUAGGCCACACUGGAACUGAGACACGGUCCAGAAUCCUACGGGAGGCAGCAGUAGGGAAUCUUCCGCAAUGGGCGAAAGCCUGACGGAGCAACGCCGCGUGAGUGAUGAAGGUCUUCGGAUCGUAAAACUCUGUUAUUAGGGAAGAACAAACGUGUAAGUAACUGUGCACGUAUUGACGGUACCUAAUCAGAAAGCCACGGCUAACUACGUG